UUAGUGGCGAACGGUCGCGUAACACGUAAGCAACCUGCCCUGAAGUGGGGGACAACAGUUCGAAAGGACUGCUAAUACCGCAUGUGAACGUUAGGUGGCAUCACCUGACGUUUAAAGCUUUAUGCGCUUUGGGAUGGGCUUGCGGCCUAUCAGCUUGUUGGUGGGGUAACGGCCUACCAAGGCUUUGACGGGUAGCUGGUCUGAGAGGACGAUCAGCCGGAUUGGGACUGAGAUACGGCCCAGACUCCUACGGGGGGCAGCAAUUAGGAAUCUUGCACAAUGGGGGAAACCCUGAUGCAGCGACGCCGCGUGUGGGAUGACGGCAUUCGUGUUGUAAACCACUUUUAUCAGGGAAGAAGAAUGUGACGGUACCUGGUGAAUAAGCCCCGGCUAACUACGUGCCAGCAGCCGCGGUAAUACGUAGGGGGCGAGCGUUGUCCGAAGUUACUGGGCGUAAAGCGCGCGUAGGCUGUCUCUUAAGUUUGGGGUGAAAGGUUCACGGCUCAACCGGAACAGUGCCUUGAAUACUGGGAGACUUGAGUUUGGCAGAGGAUAGUGGAAUUCCUGGUGUAGCGGUGAAAUGCGUAGAUAUCAGGAGGAACACCCAUGGCGAAGGCAGCUAUCUGGGCUAAAACUGACGCUGANGUGCGAAAG
Molecule: ribosomal RNA, 654 nt
Filed under: uncultured Armatimonadota bacterium
Lineage: Bacteria; Bacillati; Armatimonadota
Description: bacterial SSU rRNA
Rfam family: Bacterial small subunit ribosomal RNA
Source: RNAcentral